UCAGUCCCAGUAUUUUCUUCAUCGCCAGAAAAGAGAGAGUCACUUAAAUUAUCAGGAUCUUAAAGAGGAAAAUGAAAAAAGAAAAUUCUAUCAUCUAGCCGAGUAUCCUGCCUACUAUCAACUCAAAUGUCCCUGGAGAUCAUAUGACAUGGAAACAGUCAACUUUGCUCCAAAAACUUUAUACCCCAAAGUCAGUGUUUCUUCAAAGCCCAUUUGGGAAAUACAGAUGACAGCUGCUAUCACCAACAUUCCCUGCAGGUGUAUUGAACACUGGCCACCUGCACCUUUUCUAAACGUUAAAAAGAAUAAAAAAUAAAGCGAAUAAGCUGGAAAAUA
This is a long non-coding RNA of Equus caballus (horse), 336 nucleotides long. RefSeq lists it as uncharacterized. Lineage: Eukaryota; Metazoa; Chordata; Mammalia; Perissodactyla; Equidae. The record is from RefSeq and is a predicted model, not a curated record.